RNAcentral lists this ribosomal RNA (372 nucleotides) under uncultured organism. Its description in RNAcentral is "partial 16S ribosomal RNA". It matches the Rfam family "Bacterial small subunit ribosomal RNA", at positions 527 to 896 of the family's 1533-position model. The record is from RNAcentral.
GUAGGUGGCAAGCGUUGUCCGGAAUUAUUGGGCGUAAAGCGCGCGCAGGCGGUUCUUUAAGUCUGAUGUGAAAGCCCACGGGCUCAACCGUGGAGGGUCAUUGGAAACUGGAGAACUUGAGAACAGAAGAGGAAAGCGGAAUUCCACGUGUAGCGGUGAAAUGCGUAGAGAUGUGGAGGAACACCAGUGGCGAAGGCGGCUUUCUGGUCUGUAACUGACGCUGAGGCGCGAAAGCGUGGGGAGCAAACAGGAUUAGAUACCCUGGUAGUCCACGCCGUAAACGAUGAGUGCUAAGUGUUAGGGGGUUUCCGCCCCUUAGUGCUGCAGCUAACGCAUUAAGCACUCCGCCUGGGGAGUACGGCCGCAAGGCUG